CCUUGAAUGAUUUUGUAGCAUCAUGCAUGGGUUCCCUGAGCUAUGUGGAUCUUCCAAAUGUUUAUCCAUUUUAUUACAUGAUAACCCAAACCCCCACUUUUGUCAACAUUCUCACUGACCUCAUCAAAAAGCAUUUAAGAUUGGAAAGACGUUAAGCUCACUAUGAUACACAGUUUUCAAAUUUUAAAUUUAAAUUUUAAUUAAAUUUAAAUGUGGGUAGUGAGGAAUGCAAUGGCCACCCAUACAGGUUCAUACCGCUGCACUGGUUUGUGCUAAGGCACCAGCAAUUUCCCCCAACAUUCCUUGUGUGCCAUCAGUACAAAUGUCCGUGCAGUGAACUGGUUCCAGGCAAGAUGGCCGAAUAGAAACAGCUCCAGUCUGCAGCUCCCAGCAAGACCAACACAGAAGGCAGGUGAUUUUGCAUUUCCAACUGAGGUGCCUGGUUCAUCUCACUGGGUGCAGCCCACGGAGGGUGAGCCGAAGCAGGGUGGCGGCAUCGCCUCACCUGGGAAGUGCAAGGGAUCUGGGAACUCCCUCUUCUAGCCAAAGGAAGCUGUGAGAGACUGUGCAGUGAGGGAAGGUGCUAUCUGGCCCAGAUUCUAUGCAUUUCCCACGGUUUUUGCAACUUGCAGACCAGGAGAUUCCCUGGGGUCCCUACACCACCAGGGCCCUGGGUUUCAAGCACAAAACUGGGCGGCCAUUUGAGCAGACACCAAGCUAGCUGCAGGAGUUUUUCUUCAUACCCCAGUGGUGCCUGGAACCCCAGUGAGACAGAACUGUUCACUCACCUGGAAAGGGGCUGAGACCAGAAAGCCAAGUGGUCUUGCUCAGCAGGUCCCAGCCCCACGGAGCCCAGCAAGCUAAGAUCCACUGGCUGGAAAUUUCUCGUUGCCGGAUAUCCUUUUCAGCAACUGAUGCUGUUGCCUUCUUGAUUUCUUUCUUAUCUAGUUCAUUAUUGGUGUAUAGAAAGGCUACUGAUUUUAUAUGUUGAUUUUGUAUCCUGCAACUUUAUUUAAUUUAUUUAUCAGAUUUAAGAGUUUCUUGAUGGAACCUUUAGGUUUUUGUCGAUAUAAGAUUCUAUCAUCAGCAAAGAGGGACAAUUUGACUUCUUCUUUUCCAGUUUGAAUGGCUUUUAUUUCUUUCUCUUGCGUGACUGUUCUGG
Molecule: long non-coding RNA, 1162 nt
Filed under: Homo sapiens (human)
Lineage: Eukaryota; Metazoa; Chordata; Mammalia; Primates; Hominidae
Description: non-protein coding lnc-PIEZO2-3:6
Source: RNAcentral